UCUCCACAUAUUUGAAGAUUCCAAAAAAUUCAUGUAACGUCUCAAUUACUUCUGAAUUUUCACAAGCCACACGCUUGAUAAAUCAUAAAUUUCGUGAACUCCAAUUUUAACAAAUGAGUACUUGACAUACAUGAAAACCGCUAUUCAACCUCGAGCUUCAAUUAUUAAAAAAAUAAAAAAUUGGAGUCCUACUGUAUUUUCAAAUAAUAAUUUCACAUAUUAAAAACUCAUAAAACUGUAAUUCGAUCAGUGAGAUUUCUUAGUUGGCAUUGAUUUAAAAAGAAAAAAAAAACAACUCACAUCCUUCCGGGUCUUGAGGUUUGCCAGCCUGUCAUUGCACUGGACAAUGAUCUCCCCAGAGUGCGCAACACUCGCAACCUCCAUUGGUGCCUGCGGCGUCGGCUCCUCAACGCCCUUCGCCCCACGUACUUGAUUAAUUUCACCAGGACCAUUCUCCUGAUGUCCAUGAAUUCCAAUAACUUCCAUAUCACCGUUAAAUGUCCGUAACGUACACAAACUCAUUAUCCUACCUCGUCACUCCUGACGCUGACUUGUCUCUUAUUUUUUUUUUUAUUAAUAAUAAUUUUUUUUUUAAUUCCCCACGGAAUUGAAUUUCACAGUGGUGGAGUAGCUGGAGCUGCUUACGAACCGUAUGCCAGAGGCGUAAACAGCGACUGAACAGCCAUGUUUGAUUCUCAACUGUGAUUCUCUCGCUUGGACGAUAGCAACUCGGCGGGGGCUGACAGUUUUUGUGGUGGGGGGGUUGAGCCCAUUGAGGGGAAAGGGGGGUGAUGGCAGUGAGGGGAGGGCAAUGAGGGGCAAGUGGGGAGGAAAGUCUUUUCUCCCUUACCCCACCCCUCUAGUCCCUGAUUCGCCUCUUUUGUACAUGUUUUUUUUUUGUCUUCUUCUCUUCACUCAACUUUUUUCCAACUUCUCACUUGCCCCCUUUUGCUUCACCAUCACUUCAUCUCUCACUUGGACACACGUAAUACGGGUGGAGAUGACAAACAAAACCGAGAACGUUGGGACAUCGGGAAUCCUGUCGAGUCAGGGACAAUAGGUUUUGGGUGAAUUUGGUAUCGAGAGACGAUGAUGAGACUCGAGUUUGCGAAAUCGUUCUUGCACGGUACGCCGGAGUUGAUUUUUAUUAUGUCGACUUUUUCCUAUUUUUUAUUUAUCUUCAGGGGUUUUAUUCUAGACAGGUUGAAGUCGCGGGGGCUCACGUGUUCUGGGGAGAGAGUCGGAUCCACUCGCGAGGAGGGGAGGGUAAUGAUAAUGAAAGGAGAAUUUAAUCUGUACAGGAGUGCGGGACUCUUUGUGUUGGUGCCUUGUGGAAGUUGAAAAACACCUCUUCUCGGUUACAAGUACGGGUUUACACGGCGCUUGCGUGUAUGUUACUCCAUGAAGGGGCUUUUGCAGUGAGAAAAAAAAAGUUCACUAAAUAUGUGUUUUUCCAAAUGAACCAAUUUCAUACUUUUAUUUUUAUCUUGCAUUUGAUGCGAGGAAUUUUUCGUCUCACUAA
This is a long non-coding RNA of Fopius arisanus, 1522 nucleotides long. RefSeq lists it as uncharacterized. The record is from RefSeq and is a predicted model, not a curated record. Lineage: Eukaryota; Metazoa; Arthropoda; Insecta; Hymenoptera; Braconidae. The transcript has 3 exons.